Molecule: non-coding RNA, 68 nt
Organism: Ictidomys tridecemlineatus (thirteen-lined ground squirrel)
Lineage: Eukaryota; Metazoa; Chordata; Mammalia; Rodentia; Sciuridae
Source: Rfam
GGGAAUGUAACUCAGUGGUAAAGUGCUUGUCUAGCAAGUAUGAGGUCUGGGUUGGAUCCCCAGUACCA